Molecule: ribosomal RNA, 194 nt
Filed under: uncultured marine bacterium
Lineage: Bacteria
Description: partial 16S ribosomal RNA
Rfam family: Bacterial small subunit ribosomal RNA
Source: RNAcentral
CCUACGGGAGGCAGCAGUGGGGAAUAUUGCACAAUGGGCGAAAGCCUGAUGCAGCCAUGCCGCGUGUGUGAAGAAGGCUCUAGGGUUGUAAAGCACUUUCAGUGGGGAGGAAAAGUUUAAGAUUAAUACUCUUGAACCUUGACGUUACCUGCAGAAGAAGCACCGGCAAACUCCGUGCCAGCAGCCGCGGUAAU